UGUCUCUGUUCUGAUAUUCUGUAUUUUAUGAAGCAAUCCAAAAGUGGAGGGAAUAUUUUAGAUCCUGAAAACACGUCCCAUUCUCACCAAUAAGACCAAUCCUCGGUGACCCAGAAAAAAGCACCACAGUGUGUUCUUGGGGAUUCUCACAAGUUUAAAGUAAAAUCUAUGGAAAUUUGUGUUUGCCUUCUGUCCACAAGAGUAUCACAUUUUUUUUUCCACCAUAAAAAGCUCUUUGCUGAUGAAUAGGGAGAAAUAUGGCCACUUUUCUAUGAAAGAAGGGGAAAAAAGGAAUAUAUUUCAUAGAUUGCUGAAGUCCACACUUUACCCAGGAAACAUGAGAGUUUAAAGUUUUGUGGGAACAAACACAGAAAUGUUUCUAAAUUGAAGUAAAAUUAUCCAUAACUUUUAUGUUACGAGCGUAUGGAGCCAUUUCCAAAAAUAAGCUCUUUUUUAUGUGAUGGGCGACACAAGUUCCAAACUGUUAUUUGUCUUCAUAUAUCUGGAUAUAUCCUGUUGGCGCCUUAUAUCAGAAGGAGAGACUGAAGAACCACAAGACACAGGGACUACAUGGGACUGAAGAGUCUUUGGACAUUUCAAGCCCCUUCAGGAGAAAGCGCCGUGGAGAUUGAGAAACUGAGCUUCAGAGACAUUAAUUGGCUGCUCAAUGUUAUCUCUUAGAAUGAGAGUUCAAAUUCCAUGUUUCUCCUGAAGAAUAUGUUUUCUACUAUAACAAGCUGCCCCUCAAAUCAAGAAUAACUCGUCUAGGAUGAUAAUUAUAGCUCACAUAGAAAGCUUACAACUUUGAAAAACAAUUUGCCCAAAGCAACUUUAUGAGGCAAAUAGGUCUUUUCCUGGUCUUUUCCAGGACUUUUCCUGCUAUAUCAAUCUUUCCAUUAAGCUAAUCAAGAAAAAGUGAUUGAACAAUGUAUAUUUGUCCAAAUGGAUCUACAUUUUUUUAGAAUUUGCUAAUUUUGUUCAUUGCUCUUUUUUUCACCUAAAAAUAGACAACAUAAACUAACUCAAAAUGAUAGACUUACUGCUGAGAUAUUGCAGAGAAUGCUAUUCUUUCAUAAGCUUGACCCAGGAAUCUUUUUGGCUUAAUUGUUUGAAUUUCAAAUGCCUGAGUACAUACUUUCCAGUUUUGUUUUUAGUGACUGUAACUGAAAAUCUAUUAAUUCAUCACAUGGUCAUCAUCAUGGAUAUUGAGUCUCAUAGUAUAUAAAUGCACCUGGAGAAAUAGAAAGGGGGAAGAGUUAGGAUAAUGUUGCAGUGACCUUAAGGCUUCAAUAAAAACAAAACAAACAAACAAAAAAAAAACUCCUUGAUAGAAAAAGCUUGUCUGUGCUUUAUUUGCUUGCAUUUCCCCUUAUUUUUCAGCAAAAUACUGUACUUCUAUAGUUCAAUAAUUUGUAAUUUGCUCUAUGUAGUUAGUCCCUCCAUUGAUACAGAUUUCAACUUCUCUGUAAAUUAUUAGGAUGUUUUUGGAGAUUUCUGUGGCCUCCAAAAUCACUCCCAUGGAGCCAUCUGCAUUAUGAGUCUCCCAGGCUUAGGCAAACUGCUUCUUGGGUUUCAGCAUCACUGGGUGCCCGUUAGAAUCUUCUCUAGGAUAUUAGGUUCUGCCGGGAUUUAUGUUCCAAAGGCUUUGCCUUUGAGACUCCUAAGCCAUCCAUGCAAUAAAAUGAAACUUUGGAGAACUUCAAUCAAUCAAAGAAAAAAAGAAUAAAAGGAUAGCAUUUCAAUUUUAAGCUGCUAUGGCCAUAAAGAGAGACAGCAUAGCAUAGUGGAUAGAGAUCCAGCUUCAGCAUCAUAAAGAGUCCUGCCACUAAUGCCUAUUAUCUUUAUGACUCAGUGCCCCAGAAAAUUCUUUAAGAAUAUAGGGGGUUUUAAGGUAUUGGGAUAGAAUAUUUCCUUUUUAAGAGUUCCCACCAGUGCUGAAAUUGCAAAUCCCUUCCUCUCUUAUAAGAUCCAAUGUUUCAUUAUUCAGCAAAGUCCCCUUGAUAAAGUUAAUGAAUUAUUUCUACACAUUUGUUCUUUUUCUUUUUACCACAGACCUUUAAGGUAAAUGCCACAAGUGUUACCUGAGCCAGCAUUUUAUAAUUUACCAUUAUGAUCACCUAUUUUUUUUCCAGUGAUCUUUCACUUGAAUACCUAAAGACUCCUCUUUUAGGACACCACACUUAUAAUAAAUGCUGAACCAGAUUUUUCUUCAAUGAAAUGUAAAGAAUUGCUUAUAAAAGAGAAAAAGGUAGUGUCAAUAGAGGACUAAGAAUAAAGAAAUUUGCGUCAAGAAAUUGUCAGUCUCUUUUCUCUAACUACUUCUUUAGUCAGAUCUCAUUUCUUAUUUCUUCCUAGAGGACACAGAACAGCUGAUCUUGGAAGGAUUGUUUAUGGUUGGUUUUGUAUGUAUUUUGUUUUUACUUAGUGCUUGUGUUGCAUCUCUAUCCCCAUCUGCCAAUAGAAUGUAAACUUCUUGAGAUCUGGUACUUUUAUUUUUGUCUUUGUAUCUAUCCUUUGUCCUUUGCACAUGACAAGUAAUA
Molecule: long non-coding RNA, 2540 nt
Organism: Sarcophilus harrisii (Tasmanian devil)
Lineage: Eukaryota; Metazoa; Chordata; Mammalia; Dasyuromorphia; Dasyuridae
Exons: 3
Source: RefSeq, a predicted model, not a curated record